Molecule: ribosomal RNA, 292 nt
Filed under: uncultured bacterium
Lineage: Bacteria
Description: partial 16S ribosomal RNA
Source: RNAcentral
GGACUACAGGGGUAUCUAAUCCUGUUUGCUCCCCACGCUCUCGCGCCUCAGUGUCAGUAUCAAGCCAGGUAGCCGCCUUCGCCACUGGUGUUCCUUCCGAUAUCUACGCAUUUCACCGCUACACCGGAAAUUCCACUACCCUCUCUUGUACUCCAGUCUCACAGUAUAAGAUGCACGUCCCAGGUUAAGCCCGGGGAUUUCACAUCUCACUUACAAGACCACCUACGCGCCCUUUACGCCCAGUAAUUCCGAUUAACGCUUGCACCCUCUGUAUUACCGCGGCUGCUGGCAC